Molecule: non-coding RNA, 564 nt
Organism: Penaeus vannamei (Pacific white shrimp)
Lineage: Eukaryota; Metazoa; Arthropoda; Malacostraca; Decapoda; Penaeidae
Source: RefSeq, a predicted model, not a curated record
CCCACAUGAUGGGCGCGAUUCACAUCCUAGGACCGAGUGGCUGAUCGACUGUAACAAAAUCCCUGAAAUGGGCAACCUGACCUUCCUGAUCGGUUGGCGUGGUUCGAUCUGAAAGCCGACGAGUACGUCCUGCGCAUCGAGGUCCCCGGGUCGCCCACCGUGUGCCUCUCGACCCUCGCCGGCCUCGACUACCCACACUACCCGCUGUGGAUUCUCGGCGACCCGUUCAUAGGCCGCUGGUACUCGGUGUUCGACAUGGGGAACCUCAGGGUCGGGUUCGCUCGGUCGACGAACUGAAGGGGAAUAGGAGGAGAGAGGAGGAAGAGAAGAGAAUGGGGGGAAUGAAGAGAUAAAGAAGAGAAAGGGGGAUUGAAGAGAUGGAAUGAGAAUGUGGAGGAGGAUGAUUGGGAAUUUUAAAGAAAGAAAUUAUAAGUUUUUUUUUCAUUUUUGGUUGGUUAUAUCCGGUUUAAAAAAAUAUUGCUCCCUGGGCGAAUGAGAGAGAUGGGAAAAGGGGGAUCAGAUUACCCAUUAUUUGUCUGUUUUACAAAUGCAUUUCAAUCAGUU